GACGAACGCUGGCGGCGUGCCUAAUACAUGCAAGUUGAGCGCUGAAGGUUGGUACUUGUACCAACUGGAUGAGCAGCGAACGGGUGAGUAACGCGUGGGGAAUCUGCCUUUGAGCGGGGGACAACAUUUGGAAACGAAUGCUAAUACCGCAUAAAAACUUUAAACACAAGUUUUAAGUUUGAAAGAUGCAAUUGCAUCACUCAAAGAUGAUCCCGCGUUGUAUUAGCUAGUUGGUGAGGUAAAGGCUCACCAAGGCGAUGAUACAUAGCCGACCUGAGAGGGUGAUCGGCCACAUUGGGACUGCGACACGGCCCAAACUCCUACGGGAGGCAGCAGUAGGGAAUCUUCGGCAAUGGACGAAAGUCUGACCGAGCAACGCCGCGUGAGUGAAGAAGGGUUUCGGAUCGUAAAACUCUGUUGGUAGAGAAGAACGUUGGUGAGAGUGGAAAGCUCAUCAAGUGACGGUAACUACCCAGAAAGGGACGGCUAACUACGUG
This 497-nucleotide ribosomal RNA is filed under the name uncultured bacterium. Its description in RNAcentral is "partial 16S ribosomal RNA". It matches the Rfam family "Bacterial small subunit ribosomal RNA", at positions 28 to 507 of the family's 1533-position model. The record is from RNAcentral.